GACGAACGCGGCGGCGUGCCUAAUACAUGCAAGUAGAACGCUGAAGGGAGGAGCUUGCUCUUCUGGAUGAGUUGCGAACGGGUGAGUAACGCGUAGGUAACCUGCCUUGUAGCGGGGGAUAACUAUUGGAAACGAUAGCUAAUACCGCAUAACAAUGGAUGACCCAUGUCAUUUAUUUGAAAGGGGCAAAUGCUCCACUACAAGAUGGACCUGCGUUGUAUUAGCUAGUAGGUGAGGUAACGGCUCACCUAGGCGACGAUACAUAGCCGACCUGAGAGGGUGAUCGGCCACACUGGGACUGAGACACGGCCCAGACUCCUACGGGAGGCAGCAGUAGGGAAUCUUCGGCAAUGGGGGCAACCCUGACCGAGCAACGCCGCGUGAGUGAAGAAGGUUUUCGGAUCGUAAAGCUCUGUUGUAAGUCAAGAACGUGUGUGAGAGUGGAAGGUUCACACAGUGACGGAGCUACCAGAA
This 474-nucleotide ribosomal RNA is filed under the name Streptococcus salivarius. RNAcentral's name for it is "bacterial SSU rRNA". It matches the Rfam family "Bacterial small subunit ribosomal RNA", at positions 28 to 488 of the family's 1533-position model. Lineage: Bacteria; Bacillati; Bacillota; Bacilli; Lactobacillales; Streptococcaceae. The record is from RNAcentral.